This 482-nucleotide ribosomal RNA is filed under the name uncultured bacterium. RNAcentral describes it as "partial 16S ribosomal RNA". It matches the Rfam family "Bacterial small subunit ribosomal RNA", at positions 30 to 507 of the family's 1533-position model. The record is from RNAcentral.
AUUGAACGCUGGCGGCAUGCUUUACACAUGCAAGUCGAACGGUAACAGGCCGCAAGGUGCUGACGAGUGGCGAACGGGUGAGUAAUGCAUCGGAGCGUGCCCAGUCGUGGGGGAUAACUACUCGAAAGAGUAGCUAAUACCGCAUACGAUCUAUGGAUGAAAGCGGGGGACCGUAAGGCCUCGCGCGAUUGGAGCGGCCGAUGUCAGAUUAGGUAGUUGGUGGGGUAAAGGCUCACCAAGCCAACGAUCUGUAGCUGGUCUGAGAGGACGACCAGCCACACUGGGACUGAGACACGGCCCAGACUCCUACGGGAGGCAGCAGUGGGGAAUUUUGGACAAUGGGCGCAAGCCUGAUCCAGCAAUGCCGCGUGCAGGAAGAAGGCCUUCGGGUUGUAAACUGCUUUUGUACGGAACGAAACGGCUCUGGUUAAUACCUGGGGCUAAUGACGGUACCGUAAGAAUAAGCACCGGCUAACUACGUG